RNAcentral lists this long non-coding RNA (1089 nucleotides) under Chlamydomonas reinhardtii. Its description in RNAcentral is "long non-coding RNA (CREI_LNC000027)". The record is from RNAcentral. Lineage: Eukaryota; Viridiplantae; Chlorophyta; Chlorophyceae; Chlamydomonadales; Chlamydomonadaceae.
ACUGCACGACAGAAGUGCGGGGCCAACAAGGUCAACACGCGGCAACCUUCUCCUAGGCGGGAGGAAAGCUUCCAAGCAAGGCAGACUGUAGGCAGCAGGCAGCAAGGUUUUCGCAGUCAUACUUAUGUACCUUGAUGUUCAUAGAAGCCUGGUUCUGCUUUAGCUGCGAGCCUGCAUCAUGGAAGGUCGGGCAACAUGGUCGGCGGUCGGCGCGCUUAGUGGACUGGGGCUAUCAACAAGCUCCGAGCGGCAAAAGGUGACCUCAGUCCAAAGCCGGCUGCGCUGCAACGCAUGUUUGUAUCCUCAAGUCGCGACUCAAUCUCGCUCCGGCCGAACUCGUCCCUACCCCAGCUCCGGCCCCGCUUAAAGCGUACCCUUGUUAGCUGCCUGAGCCUCCUCAAGCUUCUUGGCGCGGCGCAUCGCCGACUUCUGCCCGUUUCCUCCGCCCAUUUCGAUUGGAAGUCUUUAGAAGGUCUGGUCCUAUGCUGAGGGCCCAAAGUUUGCCAAGUUAUUGCUUUGCGUGAAGCUAUUUGUGCGUGCUGCGGUGCAACAUACAACCCUUCAAGCCAGCAUCAGUCGCUGGAUGCUUUCAAGUGGCGCUCGGUGCCGCGUCCGCCCUAACUCACAUCACGUCAACAAUACUCUCGUAUUGUGCUUGCGCGUGUUUCUAUGCGACGAUUGGACGAGUGCCAAGGCUGCCCCUCCCCCGUCGCCCAGCGCCCCGCCCCGCACCACCUGAGCCAGGGGUACCCUGACCUUAGCUACAGCCACGAAUUCAGGGGUACUCCCUCAAACAUUACAUAGUGUGCACCAGAAAUGCCUCAAGCAGGCAUUGACACAUCCUCAAUCACCAUAAAUACAAUUGCGUAACUGGCCCAAGGAACCUGUCGCACCCUGUUGCACCCUCACCUCACUGCGUUCUAAAUCCGGAAUGUUCACAGGUAUUCACCGCCCGCCGUCCAUGCCUACCACGGCACAGGACCACAACCGCCUACAACGCACGCCUGACGCAGUGACGCGUCUGAAAUAUCACAUUAACCAGCACGCCGAGUAGACCCGGAUCACAGGGCGUCCCACAGCGUGGCCGCC